AACACGGCGGGCGCUCAAUAAAUGCUUGUCGAAUCGAGAUGCGCUAGAUUCAACGGGUAUUUACUGAGCGCCCGCUCUGUG
This 81-nucleotide microRNA precursor is filed under the name Dasypus novemcinctus (nine-banded armadillo). RNAcentral describes it as "miRNA (ENSDNOG00000045111.1)". It matches the Rfam family "mir-95 microRNA precursor family". Lineage: Eukaryota; Metazoa; Chordata; Mammalia; Cingulata; Dasypodidae. The record is from RNAcentral.